Molecule: long non-coding RNA, 2620 nt
Filed under: Nicotiana benthamiana
Lineage: Eukaryota; Viridiplantae; Streptophyta; Magnoliopsida; Solanales; Solanaceae
Description: long non-coding RNA (NBEN_LNC018265)
Source: RNAcentral
UUAUAGACAUGAUUUCUACUUGGUCAGCAAAACAAAUUUAAAAGUGAAAUCCUAUUGGCAUGGUUUCUAUUAGGUAAAGCAAUCAGAUUCAAAAGAGUAAAGUCCUAUGAACAUGUUUUCUAUUAGGCAAAGCAAACAAAUUAGAGACUGAAGUCCUAAGAGUAGGAUUUACCCGUAUUACCCCAUAAAGUAUGCAUCUACCCACCUUUUAUACUAAAUACCCCAAAUAUCUGUUUACAAAUUAUUAUAGGCCAACGAAUGAAAUACAUAAGUAAAAUAUAAAAUAAAGAUUCUAUAGUUAGCCUUCAAUCGGUCCCAAGUUUCCCAAAGCCUCCAAUGGUAUCAUAAGCCUCAGUUCCAUAGACAAAAUCAGAGUCUAGGUGCAUCAAAGUUCUCUAAGGAUCUCAAGAAUCCCAGGCAUUGCUUACACCUAGACUUAGUAACCAAUGAAUUGAAAAAGUGCUGUGUGGAAACCCCAGCCUCAAUAUGCCAGAGUUUAGAGGGUUCUCAAAAAGGAUCCCAAGGCAGUACACAUACUAGAGGGGGCAGAACUUAUUGAUUAAGAGUAGACGAGAAGUGAAGGAAACAAGUUGAAAGAGUUUUAGUAAUACUGUACUUAACAAAAAGUCCUUUUUGAAAGUAAUUCAGCAAAGCAACAGAGAUUCUUUGAAAAAGAGAUUGGAGUAGUUAACAAAGUUCAAACACCUUAGGAUAGGAUCAUACACAGCUAGAUCACAGAACCAAGUGAAUUCAGUAGUCACACACAGGGUUCAGGGGGUUUGGGACACAUAGAACAUUUAGCUACAACCACAUAACCCAGCAAAGGUCGUAGGACUGGUUUAGAUAUGCUCAGAAAUAGCUCACAGUGGUAUAGUCACAAGCUAGACAUGAAGAACACAACCACAUAAAAGGGUUAUAGGGAUUUUGGGAUUCGUGGGAUAUAGGAUGGUAAGUAUACAAUAAGUAAGAGACAAUUGGUAAGGCUUUCUCAAAAACACAUAUAAGGGAAUAUGUUAAUAUAAAGGAAGGGGAAGAUAGAAUAGAAGCAACCCAGAAACAAGAGAAACUGAAACAAUAAGAGAAGCAUGUUAUUGUUAGAACUUUGAAUUGUAAAUAAGACAUACCAAUGAAGAGGAGAGUAAGCAGAAUGAAAAGAAUGAAAGAGAGCACAAUGGUUAGUCUUGGCUUGCAGCCGGCUAACAGUAGCAAAUAUCACAAGAGAGAGAGAGCAGAGAUUAUUUUAUGAGAGAUAGUUUGUGUUUGUGUUAAUGAAAGACUAGAGUAUUUAUAGUUGAAAACAUGUAAUAAAAUAAGGUAAGAAUCAUAGUAGCAUGGUAAUGAAGGAACUCAGUAUCAGUCAGUCAGAAAAUCAAGGCAAGUACUCCUUAAGUUGAGGGAAUCAAAUCAAAUGGUAAGAACCGGUAUCAUAUAAGGCAGGAAAAAAAUUCAGUACAUGACUAAUAAGGAAAGAACCAAGGUUCAGUAAGAAUAGGGUAGCAAAUUAGGACUAAGUUUAUCAAACUCAAAUUAAGGAAAAAAUUCAGUCAGAAUAAAAUACCAGAAAUAAAAAGGUAGGGAAUCAGUCAAUUUAAACAAACGAGACAAAGUUUUAGGUUUUUCUAUAAAAUAAAAUAUUUCAAUCAAACCAUCAAAUAAGGAAAUCAGAAUCAAUCAAGACAGAGUUGUGAUUAUAUACUUCAACAUAUAAAUAGAGAAGAACAAACGGACGUGGCAAACGAGCAAGGUCAGAUAUCGACAGAAAAAGGCAAGAGAUGAACAAUUAAGAUGAAUACAAUCACACAAAGGUGAUACAAGUAGGCUAAGGACUCAGUAAAAAAUCCAUUCACAGCAUGGUAACCACAGAAACUUAAUCAGAGUCGAGUAGUCAUGCUGACACACAGAACCAAAACAAAGAAGAAUCUAAAGGGAUUUUAACAUAUUCGAGUUAAAAAGCAGUAAGAAUCAUAGAAUCGGUCAAGAUAUGAAAGAAAAGAGGUUUAAACAUAAAGAAAAAUCAGUUUAAACAUGUAUUGAAGAAACUCUGUGAAACCCUAACUUCUAAAGAAAGUAAAAACAGCUUAAAGUUGAUGAUUUUUCAAAAGAAGUUGGAGAAUAGUGUAAAACAUAGAAAGAAAGAAACUUAAAUCGUUACAAAGAGCACAUAUCUGAUAGAUACAAAUGAAAGUUGGGGUUUCAAAGAAAACCCAAAUAGAAACGGAAGAACAUGCUAUAAACUUCAAAGAUCGUAACAAAUGUAGUGUGAUUUUGCUAAAAAAACACACCGGAAAAGCCAUGAAAAACCAAAGCAGAAACCCUAUAUAUAAAUCGGCAUGGCUCAGAACCAUUAAAGACCUCAGAGAUGAUGAGCAAGGCGAUGGAGGAACCAUUGGAGGCUUGGGGUUGAAAGGAGGUCGCCAGAGAUGACUGGAGAGGGAGUCGGUGGUUGAAGAAUGCUAGGGUUAGGUUGAGAGAAGAAAGAACAUGAGAGAGUUUGAUGGCGGCGGAAUCUCAGGAAUGAGAUAAGGUUAAGGGUUGUAGGAAUUGAAAAAGGUAACAAGUGGUGUGGGUUGUUGAUCUCGAAAAUCAACGACUAGGAUUUAAUCGGGUAAAUGGGUUCCGG